AAAGCUGGAUAAAGACAAAGGGGAAAGAAGACCUCAGGGACUGAGUCACAAAUGUGGUUGGGUAGAGACUGGGGGAAAGGCUAGGGAGAAAAGAGGAGCAGGAGGAAUGUUCUGGGAGAGAAAUAAAGAGGCCAAGAGAGUGGAGCCAGGAGCUGGUGGCGCAGGCAGAUGGAACAACAGAGACAGAGAACAGAGCCAGAGGAGUGGGCACGCAGCGAGGCCUGGCAGCCAAGCCCUGUGGGUUUCCGUGGGAAGCAGAUGCUUCCAGGGAGCAGCAACCAAUGGUCCCCAAGCACGUGGAUGCUUGUUGACUCCAAGCCCAGGGCAACCUCCUCGGCAGCCAGCCUUAACCUGGAGGAGCAACGCAGGUCCAGAGAGGCAGAUGAACGACAGUCCUGUCCCUGUGGGGCUCCAUUGCUUCUCCUCCGUCCUCCUCCAGCUCCACCACCCCCUUGUGUGUCCCAGGAAGCCAUAAGCUGCCCUAUCACGCUUGGAAGGAAGCGCGCUGCAUUGGAGGGCUCCCCUUGAAUGGAUGGAGAUGGAGACCCUGAAAGAAGGAAGGACUGCCCAUGGCCCUAAGCAAAAGUGCCACAGAAUGAAGAUGACCACUCUGGGCUCCAGAUGUCUAUCUAGCACCUGUCCAUCUUUCAAGACACUGCAGCUCCGGUGGCCUGCGGAGGGCAAAGGAGAGGGACCCCAGAAGCAUGGGCAGACUUGAUCAGAACAGAGAUUGAGCCUCCUUACCACCCCAAGUCCCCAUGUCCCCUUGAAUGAGCCCUAAAGACAAGUUAAAGGAAUUGGGGAGAAACCCCAAGCAGUCAAUACAUCAGCAGUGGGGCAGUGAGGGAACCCAACCCUGCUUCUCCAAGGUCCAAAGAGAGAGUAGGAACAGCUGCAUCUUGAAGAAGGAAGACCUAGGACAUCAAUCACGUGAACAAACCCAUGCCAAGAAUGUGGUAGUAUGGACACAUGUCCCAGGAAGCACAAAGAACCGUGGUUCCGGGCUCUGGCACUUUCCCCAAGCCCUAAAUAAUCUACCAAGUGAGGUCCCAGCAUUGCAGGUAAAGCAGCAGGUCAUGAUAUUCCGAGGAUUUGGGGCUAGCAUGUGAAGGUAGAAAUAGAUUCAACCCUACUCAUAC
Long non-coding RNA from Lontra canadensis (Northern American river otter), 1139 nucleotides. RefSeq lists it as uncharacterized. The transcript has 3 exons. Lineage: Eukaryota; Metazoa; Chordata; Mammalia; Carnivora; Mustelidae. The record is from RefSeq and is a predicted model, not a curated record.